GACGAACGCUGGCGGCGUGCUUAACACAUGCAAGUCGAACGGAAAGGCCCUGCUUUUGUGGGGUGCUCGAGUGGCGAACGGGUGAGUAACACGUGAGUAACCUGCCCUUGACUUUGGGAUAACUUCAGGAAACUGGGGCUAAUACCGGAUAGGAGCUCCUGCUGCAUGGUGGGGGUUGGAAAGUUUCGGCGGUUGGGGAUGGACUCGCGGCUUAUCAGCUUGUUGGUGGAGUAGUGGCUUACCAAGGCUUUGACGGGUAGCCGGCCUGAGAGGGUGACCGGCCACAUCGGGCCUGAGAUACGGCCCAGACUCCUACGGGAGGGAGCAGUGGGAAAAAUUGCAAAAUAGGCGCAGGCAUGAUGCAACAGCGCCGCGUGCGGAAUAACGGCCUACGGGUUGUAAACCGCUUUCGCCUGAGAGAAAGCGUGAGUGACGGUAAUGGGUAAAGAAGCACCGGCUAACUACGUG
This 468-nucleotide ribosomal RNA is filed under the name uncultured bacterium. RNAcentral describes it as "partial 16S ribosomal RNA". It matches the Rfam family "Bacterial small subunit ribosomal RNA", at positions 28 to 507 of the family's 1533-position model. The record is from RNAcentral.